Molecule: long non-coding RNA, 370 nt
Organism: Anoplopoma fimbria (sablefish)
Lineage: Eukaryota; Metazoa; Chordata; Actinopteri; Perciformes; Anoplopomatidae
Exons: 3
Source: RefSeq, a predicted model, not a curated record
CAGAGGAAAGUCUCCUGUACCCAGCUGUGUGUCCAUGAAGAGUGAUUGGUCUAUGGGUGGUCUGAUUAACUUCAAAGAUGGACGUCAAUCUAAUGACCCACUUUCACAGCAGCAGACAGAAAAGUCCUUUGUACCCAGCUGUGUGUCCAUGAAGAGUGAUCGGUCUAUGGGUGGUCUGAUUAACUUCAAAGAUGGACGCCAAUCUAAUGACCCACUUUCACAGCAGCACAGAGGAAAGUCUCCUGUACCCAGCUGUGUGUCCAUGAAGAGUGAUCGGUCUAUGGGUGGUCUGAUUAACUUCAAAGAUGGACGCCAAUCUAAUGACCCACUGUAAGUACCUUAAACCUUAUGAAACAAUGAGCUAGCUGUU